This 241-nucleotide long non-coding RNA is filed under the name Homo sapiens (human). Its description in RNAcentral is "non-protein coding lnc-POU4F3-2:1". Lineage: Eukaryota; Metazoa; Chordata; Mammalia; Primates; Hominidae. The record is from RNAcentral.
AAUAUGAAUAGUGUUUUACAAAUCUGUUUGCUUUUGUAGUGAAGGUGAAUUUUGAUAUGAAAGUAUAACAGUCAUACUAGCUAGUCUGUUAAGGGUUGUUACCUUUUUAUAGGUUUAGUGCUUCCCAAACCUCUGUGGCAAGGCAGGAGACUACCAGUUUUUAUGGGAGACCUGUGGUAGUAAUGGGAGAAGGGGAUUAAUAAAAGCAAUGUAGUUUUAUGUGGAGGCUCUGUGUUGCUUA